This 567-nucleotide ribosomal RNA is filed under the name uncultured bacterium. RNAcentral describes it as "bacterial SSU rRNA". It matches the Rfam family "Bacterial small subunit ribosomal RNA", at positions 337 to 916 of the family's 1533-position model. The record is from RNAcentral.
UCCUACGGGGGGCUGCAGUGGGGAAUUUUCCGCAAUGGGCGAAAGCCUGACGGAGCAAUACCGCGUGAGGGAAGAAUGCCUACGGGUUGUAAACCUCUUUUAUCAGGGAGGAAGAAAAUGACGUGUACCUGAUGAAUAAGCAUCGGCUAACUCUGUGCCAGCAGCCGCGGUAAGACAGAGGAUGCAAGUGUUAUCCGGAAUUACUGGGCGUAAAGCGUCUGUAGGUUGUUAAACAAGUCAACUGUUAAAUCUUGAAGCUCAACUUCAAAAUCGCAGUCGAAACUGUUAAACUAGAGUAUAGUAGAGGUAAAGGGAAUUUCCAGUGGAGCGGUGAAAUGCGUAGAUAUUGGGAAGAACACCGAUGGCGAAAGCACUUUACUGGGCUAUUACUGACACUCAGAGACGACAGCUAGGGUAGCAAAUGGGAUUAGAUACCCCAGUAGUCCUAGCCGUAAACUAUGGAUACUAGAUGUUGAACAGAUCGACCUGUGCAGUAUUAAAGCUAACGCGUUAAGUAUCCCGCCUGGGAAGUAUGCUCGCAAGAGUGAAACUCAAAGGAAUUGACGG